ACCAAUCAGCAUUCAUCCUCCUUGGGUGGCUUGAGCCACAGUGAGGAGAUUCCAAAUACUACCACCACACAACACAGCAGCACGUUAUCUACGCAGCAGAAUACCCUUUCAUCAUCAACAUCUUCUGGUCGCACUUCAACAUCCACUCUUUUGCACACAAGUGUGGAGAGUGAGGCGAAUCUCCAUUCUUCCUCCAGCACUUUUUCCACCACAUCCAGCACAGUCUCUGCACCUCCCCCAGUGGUCAGUGUCUCCUCCAGUCUCAAUAGUGGCAGUAGCCUGGGCCUCAGCCUAGGCAGCAACUCCACUGUCACAGCCUCGACUCGAAGCUCAGUUGCUACGACUUCAGGAAAAGCUCCUCCCAACCUCCCUCCUGGGGUCCCGCCGUUGUUGCCUAAUCCGUAUAUUAUGGCUCCAGGGCUGUUACAUGCCUACCCGGUAAGUGGGACUAAAGGAUCUUCUUCAAAAGGUGAGGAUGUUGUGGCUACUCUUUUUAUAGCUCUGGCUUCAGAUGGACCCCUGUGAAUACCAAAACUUGCACAUACUCAAGCCCUGCAGUUGGCUCUGUGGAAUCCAUGUAUAUGGGUUUUGCAUUCUGUAAAUGUGACCGUAUUUUUGAUCUGUGUGUCUGGUUGGAAAAAAUUCACAUAUAAACAGCGUGCAGUUCAAACCUGUGUUAAGGGUCAACUGUAAUUAAAAUAUAAAAUAAAUGAGGGAUUGCCACAUGUAAUCAAACUGGUUUUUAAUCUUUGCAGUUUUGGAAAAAAUACUAAACUGAGGCCAACCCAUCUAUUGUAUAUCUGCUUUGGUUUAUGGUGCACACAUGUAUGCAUGUGUGUGUGUGUACA
This 848-nucleotide small RNA is filed under the name Pongo abelii (Sumatran orangutan). Its description in RNAcentral is "processed transcript". The record is from RNAcentral. Lineage: Eukaryota; Metazoa; Chordata; Mammalia; Primates; Hominidae.